CUCAGGAUCACAAUGUUACUCCUCUUCUUACUUUUCUUCACUAUUGCUGAUAUUGUAGAAUCUGCUGAUAACAGCAUUAAACCAGAAGAAACCACUUUAUCUGUAACUGAAGGCAGCAACAUCACACUGUCCUGCACAUAUACUGGAUCAGUUUACAACCUUCACUGGUAUCAACUAAAACCUGGAUCAAGACCAGAGUUUCUGCUGCUGAUCACUGAAAGCGCUAAACAAGUCACAGAAGCUCAACCACCAAAUCCACGAUUAAUGUCUGCUAAAGUUGAUGAUGGUGAUAAAAAACAAGUGGAUCUGAUCAUCUCCUCUGCUGCUGUAUCAGACUCUGCUCUAUACUACUGUGAAGUGACUCGCCCAGGUGCUGUUCACUCUGGGACUGGGGCACCACGGACCCUGGGUGCAGCAUCGGAAGAUGUGCGCCAAGCCCCAGUCGAGGGCAUCUCCCAGUCCACUGCCAAUAUCUUCUAA
Molecule: non-coding RNA, 480 nt
Organism: Silurus meridionalis
Lineage: Eukaryota; Metazoa; Chordata; Actinopteri; Siluriformes; Siluridae
Source: the annotation of a RefSeq genome assembly